GCCCGGGUGUCGAAAUUGGUAUCCGAGCUUGACUUAAAAUCAAGUGGGAGAAAUCCCGUGAGGGUUCGAGUCCCUCCCCGGGCA
Molecule: transfer RNA, 84 nt
Filed under: Minisyncoccota bacterium
Lineage: Bacteria; Bacillati; Minisyncoccota
Description: tRNA-Leu
Rfam family: tRNA
About the family: Transfer RNA (tRNA) molecules are approximately 80 nucleotides in length.
Source: RNAcentral